ACUGGUUGCUUUUUCAUGGGUGGCUUGACCCAGAAACAGUGGGCUGCCAUGGACAGAAGACAUGAUUCUACCACGUUAGCACCAACUGAUCUCUCUCCGGAGCAGCCCAAGGUUGCGAGACACCUCUUCUGGUAUGUGCAACUGCAGUUGCUUCUGCUGGAAACUGCUGACGAAACUUUUGGCCCUCGCUUGACCAGGCCAGUUGGACUCCCUCCUUCUCAGUUUGCCCAGACAACACCCCCAGUCUCAACCUGGGCAAAGGGAAACGUUUGCACUGCCCCUUCUACUCUGCGUAAGUGGAAUCCAAAGCAAUUUAUAAGUAGGUGAUGGUGAUGCAACCUACUGGAAGUACUACAGAAGAAAGAGCCGGCUGGGAGAAGACCACGAGCUACAUUUUGGAUGUUAAAUUUAAGAUAAACAAGACCCACAUGAACCCUAUUUCAUGCAGCCAGAGCUCUCCUGCCAGGGUUGGUCAAACCACCACAAACCAGCAGGAUCCCGCAUCAGCCCAGCCCUGGGUACUUGCCUUUCCUGCCACAGGCUUCUGAACAGUCUGACCCACAGGGAACAAACGCAGAAGCCCGCCCCGCCAGCCCAGGGAGGAGGAAGGUUAGGGAAGUGGGCUGGAAGGGAGCCUGGGCUCUCUCUGCGUAAGAACAAACAGCGGAGGACCAGCUGGGAAGGUUCUCGGGCAGAAGGAAAGGCUCUCUUAUGUAGGAGGUCUACAGUCAGACCACAGUUCAAAGGUAUCCGUGUG
Molecule: non-coding RNA, 757 nt
Organism: Vicugna pacos (alpaca)
Lineage: Eukaryota; Metazoa; Chordata; Mammalia; Artiodactyla; Camelidae
Source: RefSeq, a predicted model, not a curated record